This 245-nucleotide ribosomal RNA is filed under the name uncultured Ornithinimicrobium sp. RNAcentral describes it as "partial 16S ribosomal RNA". It matches the Rfam family "Bacterial small subunit ribosomal RNA", at positions 796 to 1041 of the family's 1533-position model. The record is from RNAcentral. Lineage: Bacteria; Bacillati; Actinomycetota; Actinomycetes; Micrococcales; Ornithinimicrobiaceae.
CACGCCGUAAACGUUGGGCGCUAGGUGUGGGUCCCAUUCCACGGGGUCCGUGCCGCAGCUAACGCAUUAAGCGCCCCGCCUGGGGAGUACGGCCGCAAGGCUAAAACUCAAAGGAAUUGACGGGGGCCCGCACAAGCGGCGGAGCAUGCGGAUUAAUUCGAUGCAACGCGAAGAACCUUACCAAGGCUUGACAUAUACCGGAAACAUCCAGAGAUGGGUGCCCCGCAAGGUCGGUAUACAGGUGG